Molecule: ribosomal RNA, 397 nt
Filed under: uncultured bacterium
Lineage: Bacteria
Description: partial 16S ribosomal RNA
Rfam family: Bacterial small subunit ribosomal RNA
Source: RNAcentral
AUACGUAGGGGGCGAGCGUUGUCCGGAAUGAUUGGGCGUAAAGGGAGCGUAGGCGGCCCGGUAAGUCUGGAGUGAAAGUCCUGCUUUUAAGGUGGGAAUUGCUUUGGAUACUGUCGGGCUUGAGUGCAGGGGAGGUAAGUGGAAUUCCCAGUGUAGCGGUGAAAUGCGUAGAGAUUGGGAGGAACACCAGUGGCGAAGGCGACUUACUGGACUGUAACUGACGCUGAGGCGCGAAAGUGUGGGGAGCAAACAGGAUUAGAUACCCUGGUAGUCCACACUGUAAACGAUGAAUGCUAGGUGUAGGGGGUAUCGACCCCUUCUGUGCCGCAGUUAACACAAUAAGCAUUCCGCCUGGGGAGUACGGCCGCAAGGUUGAAACUCAAAUGAAUUGACGGGG